GACGAACGCUGGCGGCGUGCCUAACACAUGCAAGUCGAGCGAAUGAAGUUCCUUCGGGAAUGGAUUUAGCGGCGGACGGGUGAGUAACACGUGGGCAACCUGCCUCAUAGAGGGGAAUAGCCUUCCGAAAGGGAGAUUAAUACCGCAUAAGAUUGUAGUAUCGCAUGAUACAGCAAUUAAAGGAGCAAUCCGCUAUGAGAUGGGCCCGCGGCGCAUUAGCUAGUUGGUGAGGUAACGGCUCACCAAGGCGACGACGCGUAGCCGACCUGAGAGGGUGAUCGGCGACAUUGGGACUGAGACACGGCCCAGACGCCUACGGGAGGCAGCAGUGGGGAAUAUUGCACAAUGGGGGAAACCCUGAUGCAGCAACGCCGCGUGAGUGAUGACGGGCUUCGGGUUGUAAAGCUCUGUCUUCAGGGACGAUAAUGACGGUACCUGAGGAGGAAGCCACGGCUAACUACGU
This 463-nucleotide ribosomal RNA is filed under the name uncultured bacterium. RNAcentral describes it as "partial 16S ribosomal RNA". It matches the Rfam family "Bacterial small subunit ribosomal RNA", at positions 28 to 506 of the family's 1533-position model. The record is from RNAcentral.